This is a non-coding RNA of Acanthosepion pharaonis, 110 nucleotides long. Lineage: Eukaryota; Metazoa; Mollusca; Cephalopoda; Sepiida; Sepiidae. The record is from the annotation of a GenBank genome assembly.
CAGUCACAUCGUGCUGAAAUUCCGGUUCCCAUCCAAUCACAGAAGUUAAGCAACAUCAAGCCUGGUCAGUACCUGGAUGGGAGACUGCUUAGGAAUACCAGAUGUGGUAA